Molecule: long non-coding RNA, 1357 nt
Organism: Exaiptasia diaphana
Lineage: Eukaryota; Metazoa; Cnidaria; Anthozoa; Actiniaria; Aiptasiidae
Exons: 2
Source: RefSeq, a predicted model, not a curated record
UAUACGCUAACAAAAGCUAAUGCUAUAUUCUUAAAAUAGUAAUGUCCUUAUUUUGACAAACUUCAGGGGGCUUUGGGCGACAACAUAAACAGCAACUUAUAAACCUUCCAUGGYCGAUUUUUACAGCUUUACAAAGAAAUAAAUCAUCCCAGGACGUCCCAAGAAGCAAUGCGCAUCCAAAUGAGCCUGCAAAGCACGCAUGGCCACUAAGGUGCCAACCACCUUGCAAACGCAUACGCACUUACAGACAAAACCAAAUCAACUUAAUCACAUUAACAUGACAAGUCGAAAUCAAAAAAUUGGAGGCAAGAUGGACCGACAGACUCCACUCUCCCCAGAAACCAAAAUUCAUCACGAAAACAUGGCGUUAUACAUGUUUGCUGGCCUUGUCGUGACGUUUGUUCUGAUAAGCAGUAUAAUAUUGUUUGUAGAACUUUAUAAGAAUGGACGAUGUUUAAAGGCAGCAAAGCAUAAAAAGGAUACUUUGGCAAAUAACAAAGAAACGCCAAAAUCUGACAUUGAAUUGUCGGACAUUUCAUGACAUGCGCAGUAAGCGUUCCCUGGACAAGAGCAUGCGCAUUGAUCUCAAGCAUGGAAAAGAAUGUGCUUUCUUUGGUAGUGCRAGGCAAUAACUUUCUUUAUUUGAUAUUUAUUAACAUACGAACGAGAGAUUUGAAAUUGGCUCGGUGUAAACMAUUAAAUGACAACAACAAAAUUAGCAUGACGACGCCUUUGAUAUACUAAACCAGCUACAUGUACCAGAAUUCUUUUUAAAUCAGUUUCAUCGUAUGAAGUAAUAGUCAAAAUUCAACUCGUAUAAGGAGAGUUAUUGUCCAGCCUCUCGAAUACGAGAAAGAGAUUCAUGACGACGACGAUUGACGAUACUUGGUAAAGCUAAAACUUAUAUCUAAAUAUAUACGUGACAUUUCCUUUCGUAUUAUAUUAGUUAUGCGGGCAUAUAUUACUUAUACUUAUGRGAGAGAAAAAUCAAGGUCAUAAAUGUGUUAUACAUAACGGAUACAUAUACACCGAGAUAAGAACUUUGUUGGAGACCUAUGACUUGACUUGCAUUGCAGAAAAAAAAUGAAAGCGCAUGCAACCUUUUGUUGAAGAUUGUAGAUGCAAGAUGCACAGACCGAAACGCAUACAGAAAUAACGUAUAUAUAUUUUGCGCUUUCAGACACUUCCGUCACACGAAUGUCUAUAAAUUGAUCAUUUGCGUGGGUAUAUUUUAUAAUUAAAAUUUAAGGGUGAAAAAAGGUAGAGUCUUAGAUAUCUAUGGUAAUGCAUGUAGAGACUUUAUUGAUGUAAAUUAAUCUAAAAAUGACACAAAUCAGAAUAAAAUAUUAAAGAAGAA